CCCGCUGUUCAUUCCAAAGUUUCAGUUCUUUGCCGCGGAGAACGCAGCGCCGCGGGCCGGCGGCGAGGAGGAGGAGGAGGACGGAGGCGGCCACGGCCCCGCUCGCCGCCCAGGACGCCGGCUCCGCGCGCAGACCAGCAUCUCGUUCCCUCGCUUCGGUGGUGAUGGACUUUCUGUUGCUCAGCUGCUGUGAGCCAGUUUGGUUCUUGCAACGAUGCAGGCGGUACCUCUCCUUUUGAAGAGGAUUAUAUAUAUAUAUAUAUAAAUAUAUAUAUUCUUUCUUUUUCUUUUUCUUUUUUUUUUUUUUUGGCUGAAAUUGCAGUAACUAGCCUUACCUUUCUACUCUGCGGUAGCGGCGCGGGCUUCGCGGGCCCGGCUACGCUGUCGAUAGCUGCCUAGGAAACACGUGGAAGAGGCAAGAGGCGAAUAUCACGUACGCCAAAAAAAAAAAAAAAUGUCCAACCCACCGCCGCAGACGGCGUUCGCUUUGGCAACCAGAAACCUUUCUCCCGCCGGCGCCAGGCCGGCCGAGCGAUGUAUCUAUGUACAGAAACCUUCCGCAGCUCCAUUUGACCUUCCAGCACACAGCGGCCGGCGGGAGCGAUUCGCAGAGGUGGGCGGGCGAGGAGGCGCUCCUCGUGGUGGGCUUCGGCGGCCGCUUCGUGCUCCGGGAGCUCGCUCCCGAAAUCGGCCCCGUGGCGGAGGCGGCGCGCGGCGGGUCGGGCGGUUCGGCCGCCGUCUGCACGGACACACGCACCUAGAGGGGUGCGCGCGGCGGGCUGGGGUUUGUUUCUUUUUUCUUUACGGUUUGGAUUCGGUAGAAAACGGGCAAAACGUUGGUUGUAUUUUUUGUUGUUGUUGUUGUUAUUUUUUUCCGGAAGGGGGAAAUCCCAACUUGUCGGAGCUUCCAGAUUUCUGUUGCCCCAGAAGGGACGGUUUGAGAGCGCAACUCUAUCAGAGCAUCUGCUGUACAAAAGGCGAUGUAAAUCUUGUAUAG
This 997-nucleotide long non-coding RNA is filed under the name Anser cygnoides (Swan goose). Its description in RNAcentral is "lncRNA (ENSACDG00005014345.1)". Lineage: Eukaryota; Metazoa; Chordata; Aves; Anseriformes; Anatidae. The record is from RNAcentral.